This 76-nucleotide transfer RNA is filed under the name Actinomycetota bacterium. RNAcentral describes it as "Actinobacteria bacterium tRNA-Phe". It matches the Rfam family "tRNA". Rfam says of the family: Transfer RNA (tRNA) molecules are approximately 80 nucleotides in length. The record is from RNAcentral. Lineage: Bacteria; Bacillati; Actinomycetota.
GGUCGGGUAGCUCAGUAGGUAGAGCACGCGACUGAAAAUCGCGGUGUCGGCAGUUCGAUUCUGCCCCCGACCACCA